Molecule: ribosomal RNA, 864 nt
Filed under: uncultured archaeon
Lineage: Archaea
Description: SSU rRNA
Rfam family: Archaeal small subunit ribosomal RNA
Source: RNAcentral
AACCAGCACCUCAAGUGGUCAGGAUGAUUAUUGGGCCUAAAGCAUCCGUAGCCGGCCUUGUAAGUUUUCGGUUAAAUCCAUUCGCUUAACGAAUGGGCUGCCGGGAAUACUGCAAGGCUAGGGAGUGGGAGAGGUAGACGGUACUCGGUAGGAAGGGGUAAAAUCCUUUGAUCUAUUGAUGACCACCUGUGGCGAAGGCGGUCUACCAGAACAUGUCCGACGGUGAGGGAUGAAAGCUGGGGGAGCAAACCGGAUUAGAUACCCGGGUAGUCCCAGCUGUAAACUAUGCAAACUCAGUGAUGCAUUGGCUUGAUGCCAAUGCAGUGCUGCAGGGAAGCCGUUAAGUUUGCCGCCUGGGAAGUACGUACGCAAGUAUGAAACUUAAAGGAAUUGGCGGGGGAGCACCACAAGGGGUGAAGCCUGCGGUUCAAUUGGAGUCAACGCCAGAAAUCUUACCCGGAGAGACAGCAGAAUGAAGGUCAAGCUGAAGACUUUACCAGACAAGCUGAGAGGUGGUGCAUGGCCGUCGCCAGCUCGUGCCGUGAGAUGUCCUGUUAAGUCAGGUAACGAGCGAGAUCCCUGCCUCUAGUUGCCACCACUGCUCUCAGGAGUAGUGGGGAGAAUUAGCGGGACCGCCGUAGUUAAUACGGAGGAAGGAAGGGGCCACGGCAGGUCAGUAUGCCCCGAAACUCUGGGGCCACACGCGGGCUGCAAUGGUAAUGACAAUGUGUUCCAAAUCCGAAAGGAGGAGGUAAUCCUCAAACGUUACCACAGUUAUGACUGAGGGCUGCAACUCGCCCUCACGAAUAUGGAAUCCCUAGUAACUGCGUGUCACUAUCGCGCAGUGAAUACGUCCCUGCUCCU